Long non-coding RNA from Nematostella vectensis (starlet sea anemone), 2631 nucleotides. RefSeq lists it as uncharacterized. The record is from RefSeq and is a predicted model, not a curated record. The transcript is spliced from 2 exons. NCBI's taxonomy places the organism in Eukaryota, Metazoa, Cnidaria, Anthozoa, Actiniaria, Edwardsiidae.
GGGGGGGGGGUUGAAUAUUUCGACCCUGAGGUCGGACUUCCCUCCUAAAUCAUGUUUAUGACUCAGUAAGCUCCCCAUCCCUCGCUUGUCUCCUGGGAUUUGCUCUAUGUUUAGGUAAUUCACUGGGUGAUUAAGAUUUGUUAAAAUCUAUAUUGAUUGUGUAUAUGAUUUGUAUUGAGGUAUCUAGCCGGGGAAUUUGUACAAAAUAAAAAGAUAUGCGAUUAAAAAGCAUAUUUCAUUUAAAAUAAUCGCUAUGCAAAAGAAGUUUAUUGAUCAAGCAAUGCGGUGAGGGAAUACUAUUAAGUUGCUUCUUGAGGGCCAUUGUUAAUCGCUUCCGUUAGUAGAAGCAUUGAACGGUAUGGAGCGUGACCUAAAUCAUGAAAACAAGACAAACUACUUCCAAUAUUCUGGACUGUAUAGCGAGACUAUUUAUGAGAAGAAAUAUAUAUUCAGUAAAAAAUAUGUAACUAAAUAAAAAAAUGAAUUAAUUGAUAUUGUUUUUUCCAUUAAAGAAGGUCUGUUUAUACAGGGAAGUGUUCCCUAUGGUUUAUAGAUGGUAUAAGUACUGGGUUGUAAUCCAAGAGCAUCUACUUUUUCAAUGUUUUCAUAUUUAUGGGAAAACAACAAAACAAAGGAGUUUACAAACUGACAAACUGAACAUAUUGAAUAUUCAAUGUACAAGCAUGAGGCCUUAUCCACUGACCACGUCCAGUGACGAAAACUUUGUAGGUAUAAGCUGCGCUCUCACUUUUGUUAAGCGCAAGUGACUUUUGUGAACCUGUAAAUAUCUUUUCACAUGGGCAACGUCAAUGGGAUUGAAUUGAUGUCCAGGAAAAAAGUCAUGAAGUCGGUGCUAAGGACCUAUAGGAUAUAUCUACUUUUACUGCAUUGUUUUUGUGUAUAAUGUUGUUACAUUAGACUAUUGCGACUCUCUGUUCCACUCGACUGCGUAGAACGUUUAAAGACGAUUACAGACUUUGAGGCGUGCUGCACAAGGCCCGUCAAAUACACACAACCAGGUCCAACACGGCAAAAAAGUGUUUAGUUGUCUAACAACCAGACACCAAGUGGUAUGUAUGUGCACUGUUUUGCGAUAGGAUAACUAUACAUAUAAAGUAAGGGGUGGUUUAUUUUUUUUAGUCCUAUUGCUCCGACGUCUAUUUCACAAAUUGUCUUUUGAAAUGAGAAGAGACAAAACAUCCCUUUAAGAUACACUGCAUAGUGGUUUUGAUAACGCCUCCGCGAUCCGCGACACAUCUGUCAAUUAGAUACGACCAUUGAUAUGCAUUGGCAAUGAAGUGUAGCUCGUGCUCUACUCGCCUUUUUUUUAGAUCAAAUGUUUGUUAUCUUUUAAGCCGAAUAAAAGAGUAAGGCUAAAUUCAAACGUCGUAUUAUCCAAUGCAAAUGAAUCAGGUCGACUAUUUCCUCUGCAUGCAUUUGCAUUGAAUACGGCUCACGGAAAAUAUGACGGUCGAACUUAGCCCUAAACACCCGCGUCCAUUCCCCGUGAACUACUAGACAGAGAAAAAUAAGUUAUCUUCAUGUUGGAAUGGGACCAUUCCAACACCCAGAUUUUCAAAUCCGCGUAUUUUAUUAACCAUUUAUACCACCAGAUAAGGAUAUUUUUAACGUUUGAAACGCCUACGAAACCCUCCGUUGAUUUAUUUUCCUGCAACAACGCCUUCGUUUUAAUACAGUUUUUUUGUAGUCUUUCUACUUUUACAUAAUCUGGCUAUAACGUUGCUACUUUAGAAUGGAUGUGUAUGCCUGGCUUUGUGCCGCAGGAAACGACAUCCAUUUCAACAAAGUGUCAAAAGUAUUUAUCUUUAGUGCCCACCCGUAGGACGAAUAUUAGAAAGUGAAAAGGUGAUGGUGAGUGGGCUAAUACGAUUGUGAUAACAGCGAGCUCUGGCUGGAGGGUGAACGAGUGGCAAUAAGAGUAAACACCCGCGAAAAAAAACCUAGAGAUUAAGAACCAACAGGCUGAAAUUGAACAUCAACCUGGUAGGAAGAUUAUAGGUUCUUUUUAAAAAGACAGUUUAAAAUGUGAUUUACGGCUUAAAAAAUAUAUACUUCUCAUGAACGUUUGGUGCAUUGUGUGUGACAAUUGCUGAGUAACAAACUUCAAGAAUGGAGUCGCCGUAUAUUAAAAGCGCACUAUAAGACGAUUGGCGUCACAUUAAGAGGCUGAUGCUUUGUUGCCCCUGGCAAGAUCUACCAGGCGCCACAAACCACAGGGAGUCAGUCAACAUUCAUCGUGCAUUAGCUUCAACAGACUUCUUGAAGUACUUCUAAUGGUGACUGGCGCUGCCGCCUUCACUGUGACAAAUGCAUAAUAAAAAGAACAGGAAGUUUCAUCCAAUCAAUUGAGAUAUUGAUCAAGUUUCAUUUGAACUUUGAUUGAAAUGAUAAUUUCGUUGUCGCUUUCUCCGCCAUGAGAAAAAAAGAACACUGUAACAAAAAGGUGACUGCACUUUGGAAUGUUUUAAAUGUUGUAAAUAAGUGGUAGAAUGGUGCGAUAAACAUGACGCAUUCCAAAACAUUAGAUGAUGAAGGCUGGACUUGAUCGACAAUCAUCUAUUUGUUUCUAUUUUGUUUCUUGAUCGACAAUCAUCUAUUUUGCAAAAAUAA